Molecule: ribosomal RNA, 402 nt
Filed under: uncultured bacterium
Lineage: Bacteria
Description: partial 16S ribosomal RNA
Rfam family: Bacterial small subunit ribosomal RNA
Source: RNAcentral
AUUGAACGCUGGCGGCCGGCCUAACACAUGCAAGUCGAGCGAGCGGCAGACGGGUGAGUAAUGUAUGGGGACUGCCCGAUCGAGGGGGAUAACUACUGGAAACGGUGGCUAAUACCGCAUACUCACGGAGACCCCAUAGGGGAUUAGCUAGUAGGUGGGGUAAAGGCGCACCUAGGCGACGAUCUCUAGCUGGUCUGAGAGGAUGAUCAGCCACACUGGGACUGAGACACGGCCCAGACUCUGAGGGAGGCAGCAGGGGGGAAUAGUGCACAAUGGGCGCAAGACUGAUGCAGGCAUGCGGGGUUGAUGAAGAAGGCCUUAGGGUUGUAUAGUAGUUUCAGCGGGGAGGCGUUACCCGCAGAAGAAGCACCGGAGAACCCCGUGCCAGCAGCCGCGGGAAUA